This 2771-nucleotide ribosomal RNA is filed under the name Escherichia coli. RNAcentral describes it as "bacterial LSU rRNA". It matches the Rfam family "Bacterial large subunit ribosomal RNA". The record is from RNAcentral. Lineage: Bacteria; Pseudomonadati; Pseudomonadota; Gammaproteobacteria; Enterobacterales; Enterobacteriaceae.
GGGUUGUGAGGUUAAGCGACUAAGCGUACACGGUGGAUGCCCUGGCAGUCAGAGGCGAUGAAGGACGUGCUAAUCUGCGAUAAGCGUCGGUAAGGUGAUAUGAACCGUUAUAACCGGCGAUUUCCGAAUGGGGAAACCCAGUGUGUUUCGACACACUAUCAUUAACUGAAUCCAUAGGUUAAUGAGGCGAACCGGGGGAACUGAAACAUCUAAGUACCCCGAGGAAAAGAAAUCAACCGAGAUUCCCCCAGUAGCGGCGAGCGAACGGGGAGCAGCCCAGAGCCUGAAUCAGUAUGUGUGUUAGUGGAAGCGUCUGGAAAGGCGCGCGAUACAGGGUGACAGCCCCGUACACAAAAAUGCACAUAUUGUGAGCUCGAUGAGUAGGGCGGGACACGUGGUAUCCUGUCUGAAUAUGGGGGGACCAUCCUCCAAGGCUAAAUACUCCUGACUGACCGAUAGUGAACCAGUACCGUGAGGGAAAGGCGAAAAGAACCCCGGCGAGGGGAGUGAAAAAGAACCUGAAACCGUGUACGUACAAGCAGUGGGAGCACGCUUAGGCGUGUGACUGCGUACCUUUUGUAUAAUGGGUCAGCGACUUAUAUUCUGUAGCAAGGUUAACCGAAUAGGGGAGCCGAAGGGAAACCGAGUCUUAACUGGGCGUUAAGUUGCAGGGUAUAGACCCGAAACCCGGUGAUCUAGCCAUGGGCAGGUUGAAGGUUGGGUAACACUAACUGGAGGACCGAACCGACUAAUGUUGAAAAAUUAGCGGAUGACUUGUGGCUGGGGGUGAAAGGCCAAUCAAACCGGGAGAUAGCUGGUUCUCCCCGAAAGCUAUUUAGGUAGCGCCUCGUGAAUUCAUCUCCGGGGGUAGAGCACUGUUUCGGCAAGGGGGUCAUCCCGACUUACCAACCCGAUGCAAACUGCGAAUACCGGAGAAUGUUAUCACGGGAGACACACGGCGGGUGCUAACGUCCGUCGUGAAGAGGGAAACAACCCAGACCGCCAGCUAAGGUCCCAAAGUCAUGGUUAAGUGGGAAACGAUGUGGGAAGGCCCAGACAGCCAGGAUGUUGGCUUAGAAGCAGCCAUCAUUUAAAGAAAGCGUAAUAGCUCACUGGUCGAGUCGGCCUGCGCGGAAGAUGUAACGGGGCUAAACCAUGCACCGAAGCUGCGGCAGCGACACUAUGUGUUGUUGGGUAGGGGAGCGUUCUGUAAGCCUGUGAAGGUGUGCUGUGAGGCAUGCUGGAGGUAUCAGAAGUGCGAAUGCUGACAUAAGUAACGAUAAAGCGGGUGAAAAGCCCGCUCGCCGGAAGACCAAGGGUUCCUGUCCAACGUUAAUCGGGGCAGGGUGAGUCGACCCCUAAGGCGAGGCCGAAAGGCGUAGUCGAUGGGAAACAGGUUAAUAUUCCUGUACUUGGUGUUACUGCGAAGGGGGGACGGAGAAGGCUAUGUUGGCCGGGCGACGGUUGUCCCGGUUUAAGCGUGUAGGCUGGUUUUCCAGGCAAAUCCGGAAAAUCAAGGCUGAGGCGUGAUGACGAGGCACUACGGUGCUGAAGCAACAAAUGCCCUGCUUCCAGGAAAAGCCUCUAAGCAUCAGGUAACAUCAAAUCGUACCCCAAACCGACACAGGUGGUCAGGUAGAGAAUACCAAGGCGCUUGAGAGAACUCGGGUGAAGGAACUAGGCAAAAUGGUGCCGUAACUUCGGGAGAAGGCACGCUGAUAUGUAGGUGAAGUCCCUCGCGGAUGGAGCUGAAAUCAGUCGAAGAUACCAGCUGGCUGCAACUGUUUAUUAAAAACACAGCACUGUGCAAACACGAAAGUGGACGUAUACGGUGUGACGCCUGCCCGGUGCCGGAAGGUUAAUUGAUGGGGUUAGCCGCAAGGCGAAGCUCUUGAUCGAAGCCCCGGUAAACGGCGGCCGUAACUAUAACGGUCCUAAGGUAGCGAAAUUCCUUGUCGGGUAAGUUCCGACCUGCACGAAUGGCGUAAUGAUGGCCAGGCUGUCUCCACCCGAGACUCAGUGAAAUUGAACUCGCUGUGAAGAUGCAGUGUACCCGCGGCAAGACGGAAAGACCCCGUGAACCUUUACUAUAGCUUGACACUGAACAUUGAGCCUUGAUGUGUAGGAUAGGUGGGAGGCUUUGAAGUGUGGACGCCAGUCUGCAUGGAGCCGACCUUGAAAUACCACCCUUUAAUGUUUGAUGUUCUAACGUUGACCCGUAAUCCGGGUUGCGGACAGUGUCUGGUGGGUAGUUUGACUGGGGCGGUCUCCUCCUAAAGAGUAACGGAGGAGCACGAAGGUUGGCUAAUCCUGGUCGGACAUCAGGAGGUUAGUGCAAUGGCAUAAGCCAGCUUGACUGCGAGCGUGACGGCGCGAGCAGGUGCGAAAGCAGGUCAUAGUGAUCCGGUGGUUCUGAAUGGAAGGGCCAUCGCUCAACGGAUAAAAGGUACUCCGGGGAUAACAGGCUGAUACCGCCCAAGAGUUCAUAUCGACGGCGGUGUUUGGCACCUCGAUGUCGGCUCAUCACAUCCUGGGGCUGAAGUAGGUCCCAAGGGUAUGGCUGUUCGCCAUUUAAAGUGGUACGCGAGCUGGGUUUAGAACGUCGUGAGACAGUUCGGUCCCUAUCUGCCGUGGGCGCUGGAGAACUGAGGGGGGCUGCUCCUAGUACGAGAGGACCGGAGUGGACGCAUCACUGGUGUUCGGGUUGUCAUGCCAAUGGCACUGCCCGGUAGCUAAAUGCGGAAGAGAUAAGUGCUGAAAGCAUCUAAGCA